This 430-nucleotide ribosomal RNA is filed under the name Pseudomonadota bacterium. Its description in RNAcentral is "Proteobacteria bacterium partial 16S ribosomal RNA". It matches the Rfam family "Bacterial small subunit ribosomal RNA", at positions 355 to 776 of the family's 1533-position model. The record is from RNAcentral. Lineage: Bacteria; Pseudomonadati; Pseudomonadota.
UGGGGAAUAUUGGACAAUGGGGGGAACCCUGAUCCAGCCAUGCCGCGUGUGUGAAGAAGGCCUUAUGGUUGUAAAGCACUUUAAGCGAGGAGGAGGGUACUGGUAUUAAUACUACCAGGUACUGGACGUUACUCGCAGAAUAAGCACCGGCUAACUCUGUGCCAGCAGCCGCGGCAAUACAGAGGGUGCGAGCGUUAAUCGGAUUUACUGGGCGUAAAGCGUGCGUAGGCGGCUAAUUGAGUCGGAUGUGAAAUCCCCGAGCUUAACUUGAGAAUUGCAUUGGAUACUGGUUAGCUAGAGUGUGGGAGAGGAUGGUAGAAUUCCAGGUGUAGCGGUGAAAUGCGUAGAGAUCUGGAGGAAUACCGAUGGCGAAGGCAGCCAUCUAGCCUAACACUGACGCUGAGGUACGAAAGCAUGGGGAGCAAACAGG